CCCUUUCCCUUCUCGUCGACGGAAGUGAGUGUUCCUAAGGCGGGAAAAGGGAAGAAUAAUAUUCUAAAGGUCUUUAAACUUAGAAUUGUGUAAAGAAUAGUUCUUUCUUUCGAAGCGAGCCCCAUACCUACUACGGCCAGGAAUUGAUGCACAGAAUCCGCAUUGAAGGAAUUACCGGCUUUCCUAAGCUUGGCACAGAUGUAAUGUAAUAAGCUCUUUUCCCAGCGAUAAAGAGAAAGAUAAUGUGCAUUUUUCUUACUGACUCUUAUCUAGUGCGCCUAGGACUAAUUCCACUCACGGCAUUAGAGGUCUUACCCGCUACCCUUUCAAAAAACUUUGUGGGAUCACACCCGUCAAUCUCCGAUGAAUCAAGUAAGGGGGGUAGAAUCCGCUGCUUGUAUGGAUGGUAUCGAAUCAGCUGUAGGAGGAAUAUCCGCUGUGGGACUUCACAAGCUCAUGCCAUAAAAAGUAAGCUCUUUCGGAAGAGAAGGAGUUGCAUAUAUUAUAUAAAGGCUGUUAGCAAGUCAAUUCCUUUACCUAGGGAGAAGGGCCAUUUCGCCUAGUAGGAGUACUAGUCUUAGCAUGUUAGCAAUUUGAAUUGGACAGCUUUCGCUUUCUAUCUAAGCUGGAAUGUAGCCUUUCACUAAUAGACAUCGUACAUCUUAGCUAGGGAAGCUUCUUUGUCUAGCUAAUCUUCGGGACUGUAAGCAAAGGAUGUCACUAUAGCUAACCUUCCCAAGUAACAGUACCUAAUUUGACCAAUUUUGAUUUUAUAAGAAAACAAGGCGUUCCUCGACUAGCCUAUUCCCAAUUCCCAAGCCAACCAAACCAGGGAAGCUAGGUCCAACCAUUACCCUUUUCGAGCAGCUCUUUCAACUGCCAAUCAAUCCCCAGAAUAAAGCCAAGGUAGGGAAGGGAUCGGAUGGCCUGACUGGCUCAACUAAUUAGUAGAGGAGGUUGCUUUAGCAACUCGACCACUCGGAAGAGGAACGAAGGUACUCAGCCUCCUGGGGCAAGUGGGAGCGACACACUGAAUGAACCAACUCCAAUGGAGCAGGAUCAAGAAGAAGUGAAGCUACGUAAAAGUGAGCGUGGUAGAAUCUCUCGUCGUCGAUUUGAGAUUGAGGGAGAUCCGGGGAAUCUUAUUCUGUCACCCAAAACGACCACUCCUUCUGUCGGAAAAAGGACUUGCCCUAUAUUGAAAUGAAAUCGAAACGAAUGGAACGCGACAGAGCACUCCCUAUCAUCAGGUAGUGCGCGCCAUUCAGAACUAUGAUAUCGUCUUCUAGUCUAUUCGGCAGGUCCAAGUUGUUUUGGUCUUAUAAGCUCAGGUUCUUGAGUUUUGGGAAUUUCCUUCCAUUGGCUGGUUCAAAUUCAAUACGGAUGGUGCUUCCAAGAGGAACCUUUUCUUGCAUGGUGCUGCAACGGGACAUUCUGGUAAGUCGGGUGCUGGUGGCCUUCUCCGAGACUGUUCAGGAACAUGGAUCUAUGGGUAUACCUGCAAAAUAGCUUUCUCUACGAGCCUACAAGCUUCACUUUGGUUUAGCUUCCAACUAAGGCUAAGGGAGUUGUUUCCCCGGGAUUGAGUGAACGGGUUCCUCCUCCACCCGUACCACAAAAGCGCUAAUUUAUAUCAAAAAGACCGGGAAAACGUGAAUCUAUCCCGAACAUUUCCUAAAAUACUGGAUAAACUGACUCAGAUCGGUCUCCCUCAAUCGAGAGGCUCGCUUGCUUCACUUCAACUUCAUAGAAGAGGGAAGGAUCUAUACACUAAUAGGCGGCCUACUGGCGUACCUCGAAGUACUCCGGUAUAUACACCAGGGCAACUUUGAAAGACAAGUUAGCAACCGUACUGCUGGUAUGAAUUGAGUAUUGCAGACUAGUGCUAAGCCCAUAGCAACAAGACUGCUAUUAUCAGAUAGCUAGGACUUAUUAUACAGCUCUUUAACACAAGGGAACGUAUGGGGAUAUCUCAAGAGAAAGUUUCUAGUUCUGACUUUCUGCCUUAAAAGCAGAUUCAAAGAGACAAGAUCCAAAUCCUUCAGCCUAUUCACAGCGGAUGAAGUAAUAAUAGUUUUGUACAAUUAGAACUUCAUACCUUUUUCUUGCUUUCUUGUUCUUAAGCCAGUUACAUACUUUAUUAGCCCGAGGGGUUCCUCCUUUUAGUCGAGUAUGUAAACAACCUGAAACUAAUGCUUUUUUCCCUUUCUAGCUUUCCACCAUUAAGACUUGUUGACUUCCUACGCUAUUCGAUUCGCUGGCAUGUCCGGUCUCAUACGAAGGAAAGGUUGAAUGGUCAGUCACUCAUGAAUUCCUUCUCUAAUCACUACUGGAAUAUAGCUUAUAGAAAGAGCAGCUUGAAGGAAGUGGCAAUGCUAGAAGGGCAUUUCUUUCCCGCCUACUUGAGUAGCGCGUUGGAUCUAUGCUUAGGCAGCUUAAUCGCGACUUCAUAUACGUUGCCAUGUCUGUAUCCGACCAAAGACCUUCCUGAUGUUCUUAAUAGGCAUUCUGAGAAUAGGUUGCUGGCGUAGCUUCUGUUCCUAUGGUUGAAUGUGUAGGGAUGGAGUACCUGCCGGGGAAGCCUGUCGUAGACGGCUGGCAGGUACGACUGAGUGGCUAGCCGGGCUGCUUCUUCUGCGCAUUACUCAAGAUUCUUCCUGAAUCAACGAGUAGCCAUCAGCUGAGAAAGAUUGAUACCAAGUCGGAGCGUAUCCCGUUCGAGGGUCCACCUAUUCGGUGUCCAGUACGAGAGUCAAUUCCCGGGAAAGCUCAAUAACUGUAUUUUAGAGUACAAGUCAGACGAUGCAAACGCAACGCUAUACCUAGAGUUUGAUCUAAAGUCAAGCUACCAUCCGAUUUCAAACCGUGAGUACUCUGUUUCACUCUCAUUCCGCCUUUGACUGAGCUUUCGGGUUCCUCUUUGCCCACGGAUUGCCAUUUAGAUUAUGCCAUUUUUCCGGUCUUUCAUGCCCGGGAAAAUGAACAGUUGCACUUUUCUGUCAUAUCGGAUAUAUUCAAAAACUCUCCUCUUUGUCUACGCUCGUUCCUGCCUUAUGUGAAGCUCCCCCUGUUCUGGAGAAAAGGGGAUAGGAAGCCAAUAGGGCAGGCAAGAGUGGCAUAGGUCGCCAUAACCAUCCAGCUCAAGGAAUAUCACAUAGAAUAGCUAAGGUGCGAGU
RNAcentral lists this ribosomal RNA (3176 nucleotides) under Brassica juncea (brown mustard). Its description in RNAcentral is "26S ribosomal RNA". Lineage: Eukaryota; Viridiplantae; Streptophyta; Magnoliopsida; Brassicales; Brassicaceae. The record is from RNAcentral.